ACAUUAAAUACGUCUAUCUCUAGCUAGAUCAAAAUGGAACAGACUUCCACGGUGGGACCGCCUAUUGAACUCCCCAUCAUCGACAUAU
This is a non-coding RNA of Aspergillus fumigatus Af293, 88 nucleotides long. The record is from the annotation of a RefSeq genome assembly. NCBI's taxonomy places the organism in Eukaryota, Fungi, Ascomycota, Eurotiomycetes, Eurotiales, Aspergillaceae.